AAGCUAGAGAGGCAGAUUCUCGGCUUUUGAGCUUCCAAAAGUCCAGGUCCUGACAGUGAUGUGGUAGUGGUGUCUCCCUGUUAUUCACUUUGAAUGAUUAUGAAUCUUACUUCCUCUUGAAACCUUUAAAUAAAGGAUGGUAUGCCUGGGAUGCCUGCCUGCAGUGAGAAAGAGAAGGAAGCAGGGAAUUUAAUAAUGGACUCACCGAUGAGUAGUCAGUUGGUUUCAUUGGUGGAUAUGGAUUCCUCGUGGCUGGAAAAGUGGGC
Molecule: long non-coding RNA, 266 nt
Organism: Trichechus manatus latirostris (Florida manatee)
Lineage: Eukaryota; Metazoa; Chordata; Mammalia; Sirenia; Trichechidae
Exons: 3
Source: RefSeq, a predicted model, not a curated record